RNAcentral lists this ribosomal RNA (468 nucleotides) under uncultured bacterium. RNAcentral's name for it is "partial 16S ribosomal RNA". It matches the Rfam family "Bacterial small subunit ribosomal RNA", at positions 28 to 507 of the family's 1533-position model. The record is from RNAcentral.
GACGAACGCUGGCGGCGUGCUUAACACAUGCAAGUCGAACGGAAAGGCCGUGCUGUGGGGGGGUGCGCGAAGGGCGAACGGGUGAGUAACACGUGAGUAACCUGCCCUUGACUUUAGGAGAACUUCAGAAAACAGGGGCUAAUACCGGAUAGGAGCUCCCGCGGCAUGGUGGGGGCGGGAAAGUUUCGGUGGUUGGGGAUGGACUCGCGGCCUAUCAGCUUGAUGGUUGGGUAGUGGCUUAGCAAGCCUUUGCACGGUAGCCGGGCUGAUCGGGUGACCGGCCCCAUUGCGACUGAGAUGCGGCACAGCCUCCUCCGGGACGCAGCGGAGGAGUGUAUUGCACAAUGGGCGGAGCCCUAAUGCAGCCACGCCGCGUCGGGGAUGACGGCCUGCGGGUUGUGAACCGCUUCCGUCUCUGACGAAGCGUUAGUGACGGUAAUGGGUAAAGAAGCACCGGCUAACUACGUG